GACGAACGCUGGCGGCGUGCCUAACACAUGCAAGUCGAACGAAGCACUGUGGAUAGAGACUUCGGUCAAUUGAAACUUUGACUUAGUGGCGGACGGGUGAGUAACGCGUGAGGAACCUGCCUUUCAGAGGGGGACAACAGUUGGAAACGACUGCUAAUACCGCAUGACACAGCGAGAUCGCAUGGUCUUGCUGUCAAAGAUUUAUCGCUGAAAGAUGGCCUCGCGUCUGAUUAGAUAGUUGGUGAGGUAACGGCCCACCAAGUCGACGAUCAGUAGCCGGACUGAGAGGUUGAACGGCCACAUUGGGACUGAGAUACGGCCCAGACUCCUACGGGAGGCAGCAGUGGGGAAUAUUGGGCAAUGGGGGAAACCCUGACCCAGCAACGCCGCGUGAAGGAAGAAGGCUUUCGGGUUGUAAACUUCUUUUACCAGGGACGAAGAACGUGACGGUACCUGGAGAAAAAGCCACGGCUAACUACGUG
Molecule: ribosomal RNA, 482 nt
Filed under: uncultured organism
Description: bacterial SSU rRNA
Rfam family: Bacterial small subunit ribosomal RNA
Source: RNAcentral